Molecule: ribosomal RNA, 253 nt
Filed under: uncultured bacterium
Lineage: Bacteria
Description: partial 16S ribosomal RNA
Rfam family: Bacterial small subunit ribosomal RNA
Source: RNAcentral
UACGUAGGGUGCGAGCGUUAAUCGGAAUUACUGGGCGUAAAGCGUGCGCAGGCGGUUCGUUGUGUCGGCGGUGAAAGCCCCGGGCUUAACCUGGGAGUGGCCGUUGAAACUGGCGAACUGGAGUGUGGCAGAGGGGGGUGGAAUUCCGCGUGUAGCAGUGAAAUGCGUAGAGAUGCGGAGGAACACCGAUGGCGAAGGCAGCCCCCUGGGCUAACACUGACGCUCAGGCACGAAAGCGUGGGGAGCAAACAGG